RNAcentral lists this ribosomal RNA (1981 nucleotides) under freshwater metagenome. RNAcentral describes it as "bacterial LSU rRNA". It matches the Rfam family "Bacterial large subunit ribosomal RNA", at positions 497 to 2486 of the family's 2925-position model. The record is from RNAcentral.
AGUACCGUGAGGGAAAGGCGAAAAGAACCCCGGGAGGGGAGUGAAAUAGAUCCUGAAACCGCAUGCUUACAAAAAGUAGGAGCCCGCAAGGGUGACUGCGUACCUUUUGUAUAAUGGGUCAGCGACUUACAUUCAGUGGCAAGGUUAACCGAAUAGGGAAGCCGUAGAGAAAUCGAGUCCGAAUAGGGCGAUCAGUCGCUGGGUGUAGACCCGAAACCAAGUGAUCUAUCCAUGGGCAGGAUGAAGGUGCCGUAACAGGUACUGGAGGUCCGAACCGACUAAUGUUGCAAAAUUAGCGGAUGACCUGUGGAUAGGGGUGAAAGGCUAAACAAACUUGGAAAUAGCUGGUUCUCUCCGAAAACUAUUUAGGUAGUGCCUCAAGUAUUACCUGCGGGGGUAGAGCACUGUUUUGGCUAGGGGGUCAUGGCGACUUACCAAACCAAGGCAAACUCCGAAUACCGACGAGUACAGCUUGGGAGACAGAGCACCGGGUGCUAACGUCCGGACUCAAGAGGGAAACAACCCAGACCGCCAGCUAAGGUCCCUAAAAUUGGCUAAGUGGGAAACGAAGUGGGAAGGCUAAAACAGUCAGGAUGUUGGCUUAGAAGCAGCCAUCAUUUAAAGAAAGCGUAAUAGCUCACUGAUCGAGUCGUCCUGCGCGGAAGAUGUAACGGGGCUAAGCCAGUUACCGAAGCUGCGGAUUUGCAAUUUAUUGCAAGUGGUAGGAGAGCGUUCUGUAGGCCUGUGAAGGUGUCUUGUAAAGGAUGCUGGAGGUAUCAGAAGUGCGAAUGCUGACAUGAGUAGCGUUAAAGGGGGUGAAAAGCCCCCUCGCCGUAAGCGCAAGGUUUUCUACGCAACGUUCAUCGGCGUAGAGUGAGUCGGCCCCUAAGGCGAGGCAGAGAUGCGUAGCUGAUGGGAAACAGGUCAAUAUUCCUGUACCGAUUACAAGUGCGAUGUGGGGACGGAGAAGGUUAGCUCAGCCAACUGUUGGAUAUGUUGGUUCAAGCCUGUAGUCGUGCCCGGUAGGCAAAUCCGCCGGGCUUAGAUGAGGGGUGAUAAGGAGUCUGCUUGCAGACGAACUGAGUGAUACCCUGCUUCCAGGAAAAGCCACUAAGCUUCAGCUUGUAACGACCGUACCGCAAACCGACACUGGUGCGCGAGAUGAGUAUUCUAAGGCGCUUGAGAGAACUCAGGAGAAGGAACUCGGCAAAUUGAUACCGUAACUUCGGGAGAAGGUAUGCCCCAAGUAGGUGAACUCGAACAGAGGGAGCCCAACGGGGUUGCAAAAAAUCGGUGGCUGCGACUGUUUAAUAAAAACACAGCACUCUGCAAACACGAAAGUGGACGUAUAGGGUGUGACGCCUGCCCGGUGCUGGAAGAUUAAAUGAUGGGGUGCAAGCUCUUGAUUGAAGUCCCAGUAAACGGCGGCCGUAACUAUAACGGUCCUAAGGUAGCGAAAUUCCUUGUCGGGUAAGUUCCGACCUGCACGAAUGGCGUAACGAUGGCCACACUGUCUCCUCCUGAGACUCAGCGAAGUUGAAAUGUUUGUGAUGAUGCAAUCUCCCCGCGGAAAGACGGAAAGACCCCAUGAACCUUUACUGUAGCUUUGUAUUGGACUUUGAACAGAUCUGUGUAGGAUAGGUGGGAGGCUUUGAAGCAGGGUCGCUAGAUCUUGUGGAGCCAACGUUGAAAUACCACCCUGGUGUGUUUGAGGUUCUAACCUAGGUCCAUUAUCUGGAUCGGGGACAGUGCAUGGUAGGCAGUUUGACUGGGGCGGUCUCCUCCCAAAGCGUAACGGAGGAGUUCGAAGGUACGCUAGUUACGGUCGGACAUCGUGAUAAUAGUGCAAUGGCAUAAGCGUGCUUAACUGCGAGACUGACAAGUCGAGCAGAUGCGAAAGCAGGACAUAGUGAUCCGGUGGUUCUGUAUGGAAGGGCCAUCGCUCAACGGAUAAAAGGUACUCUGGGGAUAACAGGCUGAU